Sorghum bicolor (sorghum) is the source of this 3625-nucleotide RNA transcript. It is a transcript of the gene named coatomer subunit beta'-2, with no coding region annotated. The transcript is spliced from 26 exons. Lineage: Eukaryota; Viridiplantae; Streptophyta; Magnoliopsida; Poales; Poaceae. The record is from RefSeq and is a predicted model, not a curated record.
CCAGUCUCCACUCGCCUCUCCACCGGAAUCGUCUCCCCCCGCAGGCCCGCACUCGCAAAUCUCCUCCCCUCUCCCCGCGCGGCGCGCCUGCACCUCCCGGUCCGGCGAGAGGCCACCGCCCGCGCGGCCGCGCUCCUCACACUCCCACCCGCCCCCUCGCUACGCAAGCCCUAGAAGCGCCGCCUCCACGGCCGCACCUCCGCCAGUCGCGCUCCUCGCCUCGCCGCUGCCUCCGUAGCCGUCGCGGGCGCCACCAUGCCGCUCCGGUUGGAUAUCAAGAGGAAGCUCGCGCAGAGGUCCGAGAGGGUGAAGUCCGUGGAUCUGCAUCCGACAGAGCCAUGGAUUUUGUCGAGUCUGUACUCGGGAAGCGUUUGUGUAUGGAACUACCAGACUCAGACAAUGGUGAAAUCAUUUGAAGUCACGGAUUUACCAGUUCGUUCGGCUAAAUUUAUUGCACGUAAGCAAUGGGUUGUUGCUGGUGCUGACGAUAUGUUCAUCCGUGUGUACAACUAUAACACAAUGGACAAGGUCAAGGUUUUUGAAGCUCACACUGAUUACAUUAGGUGUGUGGCUGUUCAUCCAACCCAGCCCUUUGUGCUAUCAUCGUCCGAUGACAUGCUGAUUAAGCUGUGGGAUUGGGAUAAAGGCUGGGUGUGUACUCAAAUAUUCGAAGGGCAUUCUCACUAUGUGAUGCAAGUUACAUUUAACCCAAAAGAUACCAACACCUUUGCCAGUGCUUCCCUGGAUCGCACAAUAAAGAUAUGGAGUCUUGGUUCCCCUGACCCAAAUUUCACACUAGAUGGCCAUUCAAAAGGUGUGAACUGUGUUGAUUACUUCACCGGUGGUGAUCGACCAUACUUAAUUACUGGCUCUGAUGAUCAGACUGCAAAGGUUUGGGACUACCAAACAAAGAGUUGCGUUCAAACACUUGAAGGACAUGCACAUAAUGUGUCUGCUGUAUGUUUCCAUCCAGAGCUACCUAUAAUAAUUACUGGUUCAGAGGAUGGGACAGUUCGAAUGUGGCAUUCUACUACCUACAGGCUUGAGAACACUCUUAACUAUGGCCUUGAGCGAGUUUGGGCUUUAGGAUAUAUGAAAGGGUCAAGAAGGGUCGUGAUUGGAUAUGAUGAAGGGACAAUAAUGAUAAAAAUUGGUCGUGAAGUUCCUGUUGCUAGCAUGGAUAGUAGUGGGAAAAUUAUAUGGGCAAAGCAUAAUGAAAUCCAAACUGUUAAUAUCAAGAGUGUUGGUGCAGACAAUGAGAUCGCAGAUGGUGAUCGGUUACCGUUGGCCGUGAAGGAGUUGGGAAGCUGCGAUCUUUAUCCACAAAGCUUAAGGCACAAUCCGAAUGGGAGAUUUGUUGUUGUAUGCGGAGAUGGAGAAUACAUAAUAUACACAGCAUUAGCAUGGAGAAACAAAUCAUUUGGGACCGCACUUGAAGUUGUUUGGUCAACUGAUGGAGAAUAUGCCAUCAGAGAAAGCACCUCGAGGAUAAAGAUAUACACUAAAAAUUUCCAGGAGAAGAAAAGUAUAAGGCCAUCAUUUUCUGCUGAACGGAUAUUUGGUGGAGUGUUACUUGCUAUGUGUACAAAUGACUUCAUUUGCUUCUAUGAUUGGGUGGAUUGCAGAUUGAUACGUCGAAUUGAUGUCAAUGUGAAGAAUCUUUACUGGGCCGACAGUGGUGAUUUAGUAACAAUUGCAAGUGAUACGUCAUUCUACAUUUUGAAAUAUAAUAGGGAUGUAGUUUCAUCUCAUUUGGAUGGAGGGGGUUCAGCUGGUGAGGAAGGUGUGGAAGAUGCCUUUGAACUGCUUCAUGAGAUCAAUGAACGUGUCCGCACUGGGCUAUGGGUUGGCGAUUGCUUCAUCUACAAUAAUUCUUCAUGGCGGCUUAAUUACUGUGUAGGAGGAGAGGUCACAACCUUGUUUCACUUGGAUAGGCCAAUGUAUUUACUAGGAUAUCUUGCAAACCAAAGCCGUGUCUAUCUUAUUGAUAAGCAAUUUAAUGUUGUGGGGUAUACUUUACUCCUUAGUUUGAUCGAGUAUAAAACACUUGUAAUGCGUGGGGAUUUUGAUCGCGCGAAUGAUGUUUUAUCAUCUAUACCAAAGGAACAAUAUGACAGUGUGGCACGUUUCUUGGAAUCACGGGGAAUGUUGGAGGAAGCCCUCGAGAUAGCAACUGACACUAAUUACAAAUUUGACCUGGCUGUGCAGCUUGGUCGACUUGAAAUUGCGAAGGCGAUUGCUACCGAGGUGCAAAGUGAGUCCAAGUGGAAGCAAUUAGGGGAGUUAGCUAUGUCAAAUGGAAAGCUUGAGAUGGCAGAGGAGUGUCUUCUACAUGCUAUGGACCUCAGUGGUUUGUUGCUUUUGUAUUCUUCCCUUGGGGAUGCUGAUGGCAUUAAGAAAUUGGCAUCUGUAGCCAAAGAACAAGGAAAGAACAAUGUUUCUUUCCUUUGUUUCUUCAUGCUAGGAAAGCUGGAAGAGUGUCUUCAGUUGCUAAUAGAAAGCAACCGUAUUCCGGAAGCAGCAUUGAUGGCAAGAUCUUAUCUUCCUAGCAAAGUCCCUGAGAUUGUAGCAUUGUGGAAAAAGGAUCUCCAGAAGGUAAACCCAAAAGCAGCAGAGUCGCUGGCUGAUCCUAAUGAGUACCCAAACUUAUUUGAAGACUGGCAGAUUGCUCUCAAUGUAGAAGCUGUUGUUGCCCCGAAAAGGGGUAUCUAUCCACCUGCCGAGGAGUACAUGAUUCAUGCUGAAAGGUCAAAUGAGAGUUUAGUGGAAGCUUUUAAAAAUAUGCAUGUACAUGAAGAGAUGGUACCAGAUGAUAAUGAAGAUACUGUUCAUGAGGUUAUUGAGGAUGGUGGAGUAGAAGAGAGUCAAGAAGAUGCUGUUGAGGGUGAUGCAGAGGAUGACGGAGUAGAAGAAGAAAGUCAAGACGAAGCUGUUGAGGUUGAGGCUGAGGGUUCAACUGAUGGUGCUGUCCUUGUGAAUGGAAACAGUAGUGAGGAACAGUGGGGUACGAAAAAUGAAGAACCAUCAGCAUAAAAGCUGUAGUUGAGCAAGUUGCUGACUCCUGAGCAAUAGUGGAUCAAUGGGACGGCAACUUUGCUUCAGUGGUUUAGUUUGUAAAGGUUGCUGACUGCUAUCUAGAGUACAUGCAAGCCAUUUUUCUUGAGCGGUAUUAAGCAUGGGAUGUGCUCUAGGAUUGGCUUAUCCACAUACGGAGUUGGACCGCAAUUAAUCAACACUUCAUCUUUGUGCCCUAUAUAGGAAAUUUUGUGCUACCUUUUUUACAUGUAGAUCAGAUCUUUAGGUCUCGAAGACAUUUUAUAGCCUAUCAUCAGAGGUACUCUUGUUUCACCGAGAUGGGAUAUGACUGGUGAUCGGAUGAGUGAUAUUUUACAGGGUACAUAGAGUAGUAGCUUGUCGAACUGAGAAUGUUUUACCUGUGAUAUGUACAUCGGACUUGGAGCUUUGUAUCAUUGUGUUACACCUUUUCAAUGGUAGCGAUUAGCGAAUAAUAAGUUUAGAGCAGAUGCUUUCAGUAGCCUGUUUAGUUAAUUGUGAGCAAUUUGUGUUGUGCUAUGUUUGUUGUUGUGAUGGCUAGGCUACUUAUAUAUCCGACUCCGUUGAGCUA